UACGAAGGGGGCGAGCGUUGUUCGGAAUUACUGGGCGUAAAGGGCGCGUAGGCGGCGAACCAAGUCAGAUGUGAAAGUCCUGGGCUUAACCUGGGGACUGCAUUUGAUACUGGUUUGCUUGAAUUCGGGAGAGGAUAGCGGAAUUCCCAGUGUAGAGGUGAAAUUCGUAGAUAUUGGGAAGAACACCAGUGGCGAAGGCGGCUCACUGGCCCGGUACUGACGCUGAGAUACGAAAGCGUGGGGAGCAAACAGG
Molecule: ribosomal RNA, 253 nt
Filed under: uncultured bacterium
Lineage: Bacteria
Description: partial 16S ribosomal RNA
Rfam family: Bacterial small subunit ribosomal RNA
Source: RNAcentral